RNAcentral lists this unclassified non-coding RNA (436 nucleotides) under Zea mays. RNAcentral describes it as "misc RNA Zm00001eb170380". Lineage: Eukaryota; Viridiplantae; Streptophyta; Magnoliopsida; Poales; Poaceae. The record is from RNAcentral.
AAAAAAACUACCAUCCCUUUCCAUUUUACAUUUUCCUCUACUAUGUUAUGUCAUGACUGCAUUAGUGGUUUAAUCUGUUACCUAAGUAUAAAAAUAGCAACCUGCCAAAUAGUCGAAUGGUUCAGGAAAGAAGACUUUAUGUUGAGUCCACGAGUGAUGCAUUUAUAUUUGCAAUGUUGUUUGUUUUAUCUGUCUCUAGGUUUCAAUUUUUUUUGGGUGGGGGUUCAAAUUAAUUGUGGUUUCACACAUUUUUCUAAUGCCAUGUUUGAACAGAUCUCAUGUAUAUUGGAUUUGUGUUCCAGCUCCAAAUACUUGUCAAGAACAGAAAUCACUGCAAUAAGUUGUGAGUAGUAAAAAAAGGGACAAUGCUUAAGUUGCAUGAAAACUAGAUGAGUAUAGGUGAAGCAAUGCAUGUGUUAGAUGCUACUAGUUGCUA